Molecule: non-coding RNA, 24 nt
Filed under: Arabidopsis thaliana (thale cress)
Lineage: Eukaryota; Viridiplantae; Streptophyta; Magnoliopsida; Brassicales; Brassicaceae
Source: RNAcentral
UCCUUACUACAUUUGUAUGGCCUC